This 291-nucleotide unclassified non-coding RNA is filed under the name uncultured fungus. Its description in RNAcentral is "partial contains small subunit ribosomal RNA, internal transcribed spacer 1, and 5.8S ribosomal RNA". The stretch from base 1 to 73 matches the Rfam family "Eukaryotic small subunit ribosomal RNA", at positions 1759 to 1831 of the family's 1831-position model. Lineage: Eukaryota; Fungi. The record is from RNAcentral.
GCAAACUUGGUCAUUUAGAGGAAGUAAAAGUCGUAACAAGGUCUCCGUUGGUGAACCAGCGGAGGGAUCAUUACUGAGUUACCGCUCUAUAACCCUUUGUGAACAUACCUAUAACUGUUGCUUCGGCGGGCAGCGCGGCCGCUGCGGCCCGCUCCCGGCCCCGCUCGUCGGGGUGCCCGCCGGAGGAUAACCAAACUCUGAUUUAACGACGUUUCUUCUGAGUGGCACAAGCAAAUAAUCAAAACUUUUAACAACGGAUCUCUUGGUUCUGGCAUCGAUGAAGAACGCAGC